GGAAUGCAUUCCCUGGCAUUGCUUACCCCCAUCCAGCUGAUCCACUGUAUACAGAAAAGUGAAUGAGAUUAGAGCUACUCUUCUCAAAGUUAUUAAGAGCCUGCUCUCUGCAGAGUCCCCUAUGCCUCUGCUUAGCCUAAUGAAUUCCCACAAGAGUCCUAGGCAAAAGCUGCCCUUCCACACAGAGGCAGCCAGCAGCUGUAAAUCAUAAAGGAAACACCCAAGAUCCUCUAAAGUCUGGUAGAGGAGUUAAGAGUUGAGAAACAUGAAUGCAUGCCUCCUACUUCUUGGAAAAACAGAGAGCCUUGCAGGUUUGAUUUUGUCUUUCCUCAAGUGGAUAAGGAACUGCUCAACCCCCCCUAGGAUGCCUGAACACAUUGCGGCUCUGAAGACUGUGGCUUUGGUCUUCCUGACUCUCUCAACCUGGUCUUAGACUUAGUUUCCCUCAUUCCCUCUGACAUUUUCUGAUGUUGGCUGGGGAAGUUGAGCUGGGUCAUCCUUCUCCUGAGAGCUUUCAACAGGAGCUCACCUCCCACCAAUGUGUCAGCUUUGCUGAACUGCUUGUUGAUUGCAGCCAACUGGAAAGCCAGCUGUCCACCUCUGUGUCCACUGUUGUCCCAGUGGUUGAAAUCAGAACCCACUUGAGUUUGCCUCCAGUGAUUUAUCUUUCCUUUAUAAGAUCAAAUUCAUACUGAAAUAAUGCAGGAUCAUGGAAUGACUUGGUGUGGUGAUGGCAAAGAAGUUUACCUAAAUAAGUGAGUGUUUAUUCAAAUUAGAGUUCUGCCUUUUGUGGUAGAAACAUGGAGAGAGAGAGGACUUUCAAGCCAAGCAUGCAAGAAACAAGCGAGGGACCUGAUCUGCAAAAUCAAGAUUUGCAGGACAAGCCUGCAUGUAGACCAAGGUGAUUAUCUGUCAAUCAAGGAGAAGAUUCCAAAGGGAAUGUUCCUGGAGAUGGCAGUUGAGCUGGCCAGGGGGAUGAUCUGAUUCCGUCUCUCUCUUUGGGGUGAACUGACCAAGAAAGGACAGGGAAACCUCUGAUCUGACCAAAGGAGGCAAGCCUGGCUGUAGGGAGAAGAAGCUGAACUGAUUAUUAUUAGUUUCUGUCCCAGGCUGAAGGACCCUUGAGGAGGGCUUCUGAAAGUAGGCUGAGAGACCUUGGUGGCUUUGUGAAGAAGAAAAGAAGAUUUUAAAUAUUUGUUCUCCAUCUCUCUAACUGUCCCUCUAUCAUAGUUGUUACUCGAGUGAUUUCCCAAACCCUCAAAUUCUUAUUAUAGAUUAGGGAAACCCUCAUCCCUCUUUCCUCAGUUCCCAUUCUGUUGUUUCCCAAUAAACCCCUUACCUGAGAAAGAAAAAAAAGAGUA
This 1361-nucleotide long non-coding RNA is filed under the name Monodelphis domestica (gray short-tailed opossum). Its description in RNAcentral is "lncRNA (ENSMODG00000039874.1)". Lineage: Eukaryota; Metazoa; Chordata; Mammalia; Didelphimorphia; Didelphidae. The record is from RNAcentral.